This 477-nucleotide ribosomal RNA is filed under the name uncultured bacterium. RNAcentral describes it as "bacterial SSU rRNA". It matches the Rfam family "Bacterial small subunit ribosomal RNA", at positions 28 to 524 of the family's 1533-position model. The record is from RNAcentral.
GACGAACGCUGGCGGCGUGCCUAACACAUGCAAGUCGAACGAGGUCCAUCCUUCGGGAGAAGACCUAGUGGCGAACGGGUGAGUAACACGUGAAGAACCUGCCCCGAAGACCGGGAUAACCCUCCGAAAGGAGAGCUAAUACCGGAUACCCCCACCGAACCGCAUGGUUUGGUGAGGAAAUGGAUUCCGCUUCGGGAGGGCUUCGCGGCCUAUCAGCUAGUUGGUGGGGUAACGGCCCACCAAGGCAUCGACGGGUAGCUGGUCUGAGAGGACGAUCAGCCACACUGGGACUGAGACACGGCCCAGACUCCUACGGGAGGCAGCAGUGGGGAAUCUUGCGCAAUGGGCGAAAGCCUGAUGCAGCAACGCCGCGUGUGCGAUGAAGGCCUUCGGUCGUAAAGCACUUUCUGAGGGAUGAGCAAGGACAGUACUUCAGGAAGAAGCACCGGCUAACUACGUGCCAGCAGCCGCGGUAAU